ACUCCUACGGGAGGCAGCAGUGGGAAGUAUUGCACAAUGGGAACCGGUAGCAUGCAGCCAUGCCGCGUGUGUGAAGAAGGCCUUCGGGUUGUAAAGCACUUUCAGUAGGGAGGAAGGUAGUGUAGUUAAUAGCUGCAUUAUUUGACGUUAGCGACAGAAGAAGCACCGGCUAACUCCGUGCCAGCAGCCGCGGUAAUACGGAGGGUGCGAGCGUUAAUCGGAAUUACUGGGCGUAAAGCGCAUGCAGGCGGCCUGUUAAGUCAGAUGUGAAAG
This 273-nucleotide ribosomal RNA is filed under the name uncultured bacterium. Its description in RNAcentral is "partial 16S ribosomal RNA". It matches the Rfam family "Bacterial small subunit ribosomal RNA", at positions 335 to 600 of the family's 1533-position model. The record is from RNAcentral.